Non-coding RNA from Bos taurus (domestic cattle), 72 nucleotides. Lineage: Eukaryota; Metazoa; Chordata; Mammalia; Artiodactyla; Bovidae. The record is from Rfam.
UCCCUGAUAGCUCAGCUGGUGAAGAAUCUAUCUGCAAUGUAGGAGACCCUGGUUCAAUUCCUGGGUUGGGAA